GCCCCACCCGAACAAUGUUGCAAGUUUGUGGUAUGCUCACGCCUGUGCCAAGGUAGAGCAAACUUGGAGUAGAUUAAGAUCCCCAUGGUAAAAUUCACCCCUUGGGUGUGAUAGAAGAGUUCUGACUCGGGAGCAAUGGGAACAAGCCAAAAGAACGAGCGUUGAGACAGAGAGAGUUUGAUAGUUGCUUUGGGCAUAUAUAAAACACACUGAUUAACUUUGCCAGAAUUGGGAGUUCUUACAGGAAGAUCCCCAAAGUCCCUGCUGAACCAUCCUACCAUCCACCCCUGAUUCCAAAGAGAACAGAUGAGAGUACCCAAUUAUAUUUUGCUAAGCAACCACCUGACCUCUGUAUUUUUCAAUGCAAUGAACAAAAGAAUGCCAUCAGAAAAAGUGAGACCUGCACACAGUGCCAAUGGCUCCUCUUCAGUGUUCUAGUCAACUGGCUGUUCUAUGGUACUCUCCCUCUAAAAGCUCAGUACUCACUAGACCCCUGAGUCCCUCUCCAGGUUAAUUUCUACAGAUGUUCCAUACCUCUCCAAUCCCAGAAAGAAGAGGAAUGAAAAAUGUCCAGUGAUUUAUAUUACAUGCUUAAUAAGGAAAACUGUGAUCGCUCAAAUAAAACAGCUGUGUACCAGGAAGAAAAAGAGAAACAAUGAAAGAGAAUGCACUAAGGAGACAGCAGCAAAUAAAAUUCCAUAUGUACAUAGCCACUGUACAGUAAAGAUGACAGCAAUGUGGUGUGCUCUGAAAGUUAAGUUGUCACACUCAGUUUCUCAUAUUUGUUGACAAACACAAGCAACUGUAAGCUGAGUCAUGGCAACUGGGCUUCUUUCUUGUUAGAUUGAAACGAUUUGCUACUCAUUGAAGUAGCUUCUUCAGUCUGAGGAAAGUUGGUAGGAGACUCGUGAUAUAUCCUCCCCAUUGGUUUCAUUUCUCCCUGGCCUGAAUAGGCUCAUUAGAUGGAUAAUGGAUUGGGAUUGAGUGAAAUAUCCCACCUCUGCAGUCCUUCUCCACACAUUGACUCUCAUUGCAACACAUACUAAGGGUCAUCAGGAUGCUAAACUACAGAGCAAGAAACAUCCCCACCUCCACAGAAGCAAGAAGAAGGCCUGUGAAUAACCAAAAUGGGCUUUUAACAAGGUAGUGUCCCAACCAAGGAGGACAAUGGAACAGUCUGAGACCCAAAGCUGAGGGAAGAAUCUGGUCAUUCUUUACAUGAUGGGUGUGUCUGAAAAGAUCAAAAGGAUCUUUUCAGACCCGUUCACUUCAAACCCACUAAGGCAGAGAAUCGCCCACACAGAAGCCCACACACCAAAACACAAGAGCAAUAUACUAUAUGUGGUCUGAUGCAAAGACUUUUCGGAGCUCUACGCUGGAGAAACCAAACAGCCACUACACAGGAGAAGGCCCCAGCACAGGAGGGGCAAUGACUCAGGACCAUAAUCAGCAGUGUUCCAUCAUUUAAAGCACUGGUUCUUAACCUUGGGUUACUCAGGAGUUUUGGACUGCAACUCCCAGAAGCCUUCACCACCAGCUGUCCUGACUGGGGUUUCUGGGAGUUGCAGUUCAAAAGCAUCCGAGUAACAAAGGUUAAGAACCACUGAUUUAAAGGACAAAUGGCACACAUUUGAUGACCAAGAUGUACUCAGAAAAUCCCUCACUCAACAGGGGUGGAGGCCUUAGAUACAAUCUGUCUCCUAUUUAUCAUCCUGCCCUUUUAUCUGUCCCCAGAAAGAUGGGGAACACAACCACCUGAAAGACCACUGUUAACGACCCACGACAAUGG
This is a long non-coding RNA of Pogona vitticeps (central bearded dragon), 1789 nucleotides long. The record is from Ensembl. NCBI's taxonomy places the organism in Eukaryota, Metazoa, Chordata, Lepidosauria, Squamata, Agamidae.